CUGCUUUGGCAGCAAGUAUAUUAAAAUUGGAAAGAUACAGAGAAGAUUAUCAUGGCCCCUGCACAGGCAUGUCACAAAAAUUUGAGUGGCAUUCUCUGUUUCU
Molecule: small nuclear RNA, 103 nt
Organism: Ahaetulla prasina
Lineage: Eukaryota; Metazoa; Chordata; Lepidosauria; Squamata; Colubridae
Source: RefSeq, a predicted model, not a curated record